UUGUGCGCCGACCCCAUCUGAGUGCAGCGCGCACACGCAUAGAGGCGAUACACGUUCGCACCUGGCGCGUGCCACCCCUUUACGCUGCGCCCUCUCUCGUGCUCCCGCGCACCUCCUCUCUUCUCUGCACCCCCCUCCCUCCGUCCUGGAACUGGCACGUCAAUGUCAUCCACUGACAUCCGCAGCACCAACGACAUCACCUCAACGGUGGUGUCGGACACCAAUGAGUCCUUUGCCACGUCCUCCGGUGGCGCGAACAGCACGGCAAACACGCUCACCACCGAUGGCAUCAUCCGCGAGUGCAUUAAGCAGGGUUUUUAUCGCAACCCCAUCUGCAACGAGAAGCUGUACUUGCACAAUCGUGGCUACGACAGCAUUGCCCCCACCGCCUUCGAGCCCUACACCGACGUAAAAGUGCUCUGGUUGGAGGGCAACGGACUCUCGGUGCUGCCGUGCGGCGGGGGCUAUACGCAGGUGCGCCCGCCAGCGCGCGUGGACCCGUUUGCGUCGGAGCUGGAGGCAGCCGAGGCUGAGCGGGCCGCAGUGCCGGCUGAGCCUUUGGCACAGCACGUAGACCCCAACACAGAGGCGAUGCGCCACCAAGACGCGCUCUCGCCAGACAGCGUUGCUCAGAAAGAGUCCUCGCUUCCGCUGGCGGCCGAUGUGCCGCCAGCGGACCGCGACGCCUUCAGCUCCCUCUACCCAACCGUGCGCCAGCUGUACCUGCACAACAAUCUCUUCCGAUCCAUGCCGGACCUCUCGCGGUUCGAGAGACUGGACACGGUGAACUUAUCAGGCAAUUUCUUCAAGACGGUAGAGCCGCACUGUGCCCACUACGACUCCGCGGUGCGCCAGCACCAUGCCAGCGAGGUGGCAGACGGCACAUCACCGACGUCGGCAAUGACCUCCGGUGCGAGUCUCUUGCUCUCCAAAAGCCUGCAGCGCGAGCAGGAGCAGCGGCGGCAGCAGGUGUCGCAUGACCCUUACAGCGCAGGCGGGACUGCGCCUUCCGAGGAUCUGACCGUGGUCGCCUUGCCAGAAGACGCUAAGCGGCAGCGUGCCGUGCAGCUGGAGCGCUACCGCCACACCGCCGAUGUCUUCUCGGUCUUCUGCGGGCACAGCCCACUGCCGGAGAGCGAGGAGGCGGAGGAGGCAAGGGAUGAGGACCACCAGCGCAGAGUCUCAUCCUUGCCCCUCAAGCAGCCGCCACCGCCGGCGCCGGAGCACCGCAACCCGUGCAGCUCGCUGCGCAGUCUCAACCUGGCGGGCAACCGCCUGCAGGGCUUCGAGGACUGUCUCGGGCUUCUCUGCUACCGCUCGCUGGCGGUGCUGGACCUCAGUCACAACCACAUCGCGGACGGCGAAGCACUGCUGCUGAUCCUCGAGCGCCUGCCGCGCCUGCAGUCGCUCAAGCUCUCCGGCAACCCGCUCGUCCGGUCGCUCCCGCGCUACCGCAAGCGCGUCCUUUCGCGGUGCAAAAGGCUGCUUCACUUGGACGACCGCCCGGUAUUUGCCGAGGAGCGCCGUGUGGUCACGGCGUGGGCCAUCGGCGGCGACGACGGAGAGGAGAAGGAGCGGCACGCGAUUCAGGAAGAAAGGGCCGCGGCGGAGAAGCAGCGGCUGGAAGACUUCCGCCGCCUCAUCUCACGCCAUCAGCGCGCCGGCGCUGCUGAGGCGCCGCACGAGGACUACAUAAACGCCAUCACCACGGUGGCAGCGCUGUCGACAGCCGCGGACACGGCCGACAGCCGCGGCCGGAACCGCGCCGGUCGAAGCUCCAGAGAGACUGGGCGGCGGCACGGCCGUCCGCCGACGUCCGAGCUCGACUCCUCUUCCACCAGCUCUGAAAGUGAAGAUGACGCUGACGACGACAACCAAGCCGGCAGCGGCACAGGUGGGCGGUCAGCCGCGGCAAUGAGGGCAAUAAUGAUGAAUGUGAGCAAUACUGAUGCGCAGGCCGACGCCUCUGAUGCUGCCGCAGUUGGGAUGAUCGCCAGCCAACACGAGAACAAGCCGCUCAGAGAGGUUCGAGCCGCAUCGUCGUCGCAGCUGCAGCAGCAGCAGCGUGUGCUGAGUUCGAAUCAGCGUGUCGAGGCGGCAGCCUCGACCGCCACAGGCGCAGGCGAUGACAGCGAGAACGACGACAUUUUCGUUCCCAGUGCGGUGUAAAGAGAAAGGCGGAGUGAAAGACGACGACGAUGUGGAGGAGGGGCAGACACAGAAUGGAAACACCCCCUGUUGGCUUGUGCGUGCGUUGGGUGUGUAGGUGUGUGUCCUGCUGGCGUCUGCCGUUGUGACGCUUCUGGUAGCCGGUGUGUCACUUGCGGCAACCGCCGACUUAGCGGCUGGCCGAGAUGCACGCCAGCACCAUCCGCACUGCGGUUGUUUUCCUUUGAUUAGUCGGACACGCCGCUAUUCCGGCCACCACUAGCCCCCUCCCCCUCCCCCAGCCUAGCAUCCGUUUCGCCAGCGGUAAGGCAACUGCUAUGGUCGGGCUUUUUCUUUGAUGUCCCAUUCUCCUAUACCUGUGCUGGGCGACGCAGCUCGAGAAAGAGCAUCCGUAUCAGCGGCUUGGUCACAGUGGUAGUGGUGGUACGGCCAUGAUACACCUUUGCUGGUGCCUGCCUCCCUCAUCCGCAGCCGAGUCUCGAGCUCGAGGCGCAUGUAGAAAGGAUAGACUGAGUCUAGUGUUCAUGGAAGCGGGGCGCUUGCGGACAGGCACGCACACGCAUGCGCACAUGGCGCAGCGAGCCCCGCCAUCCUCUCCCUUCCUCGCGUCUUUUUGCUCUGUUUCACAUGUACAUACUUUAAGAGAAGGGAGGAGGAAGGGGGGUGCACUGGUGCUCCGCCGUGCUGCUCCGUGUCUGUGCAGCUUACACGGCACCUAAGGGGGAUAAAGUACGCAGUAGAGACGGUGGAAAGAGCGUGUGCAUGGAUGGAUGCAGCAGACGUACUCUUGCGUGAUCACAAGAAAAGGAGCGUGCAUCGCAGCAGAAAAGAGAGGGGAAGGGACGCAAGGAAACGAGCUGCACACCUGCACAUCCUGCGGUCACUUCGGGGCGUGAUUGCUUCUUCGGUCUAGUGAGGUCAAGUGUGCGUGUGUGGCGAACAGCGCACCCCGCCCUGCUUCUCCCGGCCCCCUCCUUACUCAGACAGAGACAGCGGCAGGGGCAUGCUAGCUCUUCUUCCUCUGCUCGCCCGCUCAGUAUGGGGUGGGUUUAUGAAAGAGAGAAG
This 3234-nucleotide unclassified non-coding RNA is filed under the name Leishmania donovani. RNAcentral describes it as "gene:LdHU3.26.1490(CDS-product:Leucine_rich_repea t_putative)". Lineage: Eukaryota; Euglenozoa; Kinetoplastea; Trypanosomatida; Trypanosomatidae. The record is from RNAcentral.